UACAGAGGGGGCAAGCGUUGUUCGGAAUUACUGGGCGUAAAGGGCGCGUAGGCGGCCCGCUAAGUCGAACGUGAAAUCCCCGGGCUCAACCCUCGAAUGCCGGUGGAUACUGUCGGGCUAGAGUGCGGAAGAGGCGAGUGGAAUUCCUGGUGUAGCGGUGAAAUGCGCAGAUAUCAGGAGGAACACCAAUUGCGAAGGCAGCUCGCUGGGACGUUACUGACGCUGAGACGCGAAAGCGUGGGGAGCAAACAGG
This 253-nucleotide ribosomal RNA is filed under the name uncultured bacterium. Its description in RNAcentral is "partial 16S ribosomal RNA". It matches the Rfam family "Bacterial small subunit ribosomal RNA", at positions 524 to 776 of the family's 1533-position model. The record is from RNAcentral.